CCAGGGGAGCAUGCUCACGCUGGGGGCCAUUGACCUGUCCUACUACACAGGCUCCCUGCACUGGAUACCCAUGACUGCAAGAAUACCAAUAGUUCACUGUGGACAGUUUGACAUCAACUGCGGGUGCCUGAGCAGCAUGCCCACGGUUGUCUUCGAGAUCUACGGCCAGAAGUAUCCCCUGCCACCCUCCGCCUACAGCAGCCAGGACCAGGGCUUCUGCACCAGUGGUUUCCAGGGUGACUAUAGUUCCCAGCAGUGGAUCCUGGGGGAUGUCUUCAUCCGGGAGUAUUACAGUGUCUUUGACAGGGCCAAUAACUGUGUGGGGCUGGCGAAGGCUGUCUGAUUGCAUCACUGGCCAUGGACCUCAAUGUGACCAAACACACACGCGCACAUAGAUGAGAUGUGCAGGCAGAUGGUUCCCAAUAAACACCGCAUUUCUGCA
RNAcentral lists this small RNA (442 nucleotides) under Pongo abelii (Sumatran orangutan). RNAcentral's name for it is "processed transcript". The record is from RNAcentral. Lineage: Eukaryota; Metazoa; Chordata; Mammalia; Primates; Hominidae.